GCCUGGGUGGCUCAGUCAGUUGAGCAUCUGACUUCAGCUCAGGUCAUGAUCUUGCAGUUUGUGAGUUCGAGUCCCACGUCAGGCU
Molecule: transfer RNA, 85 nt
Filed under: Felis catus (domestic cat)
Lineage: Eukaryota; Metazoa; Chordata; Mammalia; Carnivora; Felidae
Rfam family: tRNA
About the family: Transfer RNA (tRNA) molecules are approximately 80 nucleotides in length. Their secondary structure includes four short double-helical elements and three loops (D, anti-codon, and T loops).
Source: Rfam by way of RNAcentral